AGUGAACGCUGGCGGUAGGCCUAGCACAUGCAAGUCGAACGGCAGCACAGUAAGAGCUUGCUCUUACGGGUGGCGAGUGGCGGACGGGUGAGGAAUACAUCGGAAUCUACUUUUUCGUAGGGGAUAACGUAGGGAAACUUACGCUAAUACCGCAUACGACCUACGGGUGAAAGCAGGGGAUCUUCGGACCUUGCGCGAUUGAAUGAGCCGAUGUCGGAUUAGCUAGUUGGCGGGGUAAAGGCCCACCAAGGCGACGAUCCGUAGCUGGUCUGAGAGGAUGAUCAGCCACACUGGAACUGAGACACGGUCCAGACGCCUACGGGAGGCAGCAGUGGGGAAUAUUGGACAAUGGGCGCAAGCCUGAUCCAGCCAUACCGCGUGGGUGAAGAAGGCCUUCGGGUUGUAAAGCCCUUUUGUUGGGAAAGAAAAGCAGCAGGUUAAUACCCCGCUGUUCUGACGGUACCCAAAGAAUAAGCACCGGCUAACUUCGU
RNAcentral lists this ribosomal RNA (491 nucleotides) under uncultured bacterium. Its description in RNAcentral is "partial 16S ribosomal RNA". It matches the Rfam family "Bacterial small subunit ribosomal RNA", at positions 29 to 506 of the family's 1533-position model. The record is from RNAcentral.